Molecule: ribosomal RNA, 429 nt
Filed under: Chloroflexota bacterium
Lineage: Bacteria; Bacillati; Chloroflexota
Description: Chloroflexi bacterium partial 16S ribosomal RNA
Rfam family: Bacterial small subunit ribosomal RNA
Source: RNAcentral
UGGGGAAUAUUGCACAAUGGGCGCAAGCCUGAUGCAGCCAUGCCGCGUGUGUGAAGAAGGCCUUCGGGUUGUAAAGCACUUUCAGCGGGGAGGAAGGCGAUAAGGUUAAUAACCUUGUCGAUUGACGUUACCCGCAGAAGAAGCACCGGCUAACUCCGUGCCAGCAGCCGCGGUAAUACGGAGGGUGCAAGCGUUAAUCGGAAUUACUGGGCGUAAAGCGCACGCAGGCGGUUUGUUAAGUCAGAUGUGAAAUCCCCGGGCUCAACCUGGGAACUGCAUCUGAGACUGGCAAGCUUGAGUCUCGUAGAGGGGGGUAGAAUUCCAGGUGUAGAGGUGAAAUGCGUAGAGAUCUGGAGGAAUACCGGUGGCGAAGGCGGCCCCCUGGACGAAGACUGACGCUCAGGUGCGAAAGCGUGGGGAGCAAACAGG